Molecule: ribosomal RNA, 1233 nt
Filed under: Campylobacter jejuni
Lineage: Bacteria; Pseudomonadati; Campylobacterota; Epsilonproteobacteria; Campylobacterales; Campylobacteraceae
Description: bacterial SSU rRNA
Rfam family: Bacterial small subunit ribosomal RNA
Source: RNAcentral
UUAACUGGUCUGAGAGGAUGAUCAGUCACACUGGAACUGAGACACGGUCCAGACUCCUACGGGAGGCAGCAGUAGGGAAUAUUGCGCAAUGGGGGAAACCCUGACGCAGCAACGCCGCGUGGAGGAUGACACUUUUCGGAGCGUAAACUCCUUUUCUUAGGGAAGAAUUCUGACGGUACCUAAGGAAUAAGCACCGGCUAACUCCGUGCCAGCAGCCGCGGUAAUACGGAGGGUGCAAGCGUUACUCGGAAUCACUGGGCGUAAAGGGCGCGUAGGCGGAUUAUCAAGUCUCUUGUGAAAUCUAAUGGCUUAACCAUUAAACUGCUUGGGAAACUGAUAGUCUAGAGUGAGGGAGAGGCAGAUGGAAUUGGUGGUGUAGGGGUAAAAUCCGUAGAUAUCACCAAGAAUACCCAUUGCGAAGGCGAUCUGCUGGAACUCAACUGACGCUAAGGCGCGAAAGCGUGGGGAGCAAACAGGAUUAGAUACCCUGGUAGUCCACGCCCUAAACGAUGUACACUAGUUGUUGGGGUGCUAGUCAUCUCAGUAAUGCAGCUAACGCAUUAAGUGUACCGCCUGGGGAGUACGGUCGCAAGAUUAAAACUCAAAGGAAUAGACGGGGACCCGCACAAGCGGUGGAGCAUGUGGUUUAAUUCGAAGAUACGCGAAGAACCUUACCUGGGCUUGAUAUCCUAAGAACCUUAUAGAGAUAUGAGGGUGCUAGCUUGCUAGAACUUAGAGACAGGUGCUGCACGGCUGUCGUCAGCUCGUGUCGUGAGAUGUUGGGUUAAGUCCCGCAACGAGCGCAACCCACGUAUUUAGUUGCUAACGGUUCGGCCGAGCACUCUAAAUAGACUGCCUUCGUAAGGAGGAGGAAGGUGUGGACGACGUCAAGUCAUCAUGGCCCUUAUGCCCAGGGCGACACACGUGCUACAAUGGCAUAUACAAUGAGACGCAAUACCGCGAGGUGGAGCAAAUCUAUAAAAUAUGUCCCAGUUCGGAUUGUUCUCUGCAACUCGAGAGCAUGAAGCCGGAAUCGCUAGUAAUCGUAGAUCAGCCAUGCUACGGUGAAUACGUUCCCGGGUCUUGUACUCACCGCCCGUCACACCAUGGGAGUUGAUUUCACUCGAAGCCGGAAUACUAAACUAGUUACCGUCCACAGUGGAAUCAGCGACUGGGGUGAAGUCGUAACAAGGUAACCGUAGGAGAACCUGCGGUUGGAUCACCUCCUUUCUA